Molecule: ribosomal RNA, 680 nt
Filed under: uncultured Nitrospirota bacterium
Lineage: Bacteria; Pseudomonadati; Nitrospirota
Description: bacterial SSU rRNA
Rfam family: Bacterial small subunit ribosomal RNA
Source: RNAcentral
AGUGGCGGACGGGCGAGUAACACGUAAUAAGCUGCUGCAGACGGGGAUAACCUCGGGAAACCGAAGCUAAGACCCGAUGAGAGGUGAUUGCGGCCCAUCAGCUAGUUGGUAGGGUAACGGCCUACCAAGGCUACGACGGGUAGCCGGCCUUAGAGGGUGGUCGGCCGCACUGGGACUGAGACACUGCCCAGACUCCUACGGGAGGCUGCAGUCGAGAAUCUUCCGCAAUGGGCGCAAGCCUGACGGAGCGACGCCGCGUGGAGGACGAAGGCCUUCGGGUUGUAAACUCCUGUCACGAGUUAUGACGUAAGCUCGAGAGGAAGCACUGGCUAACUCUGUGCCAGCAGCCGCGGUAAUACAGAGAGUGCGAACGUUGUUCGGAAUUACUGGGCUUAAAGCGCACGUAGGCGGCGUCGUAAGUGUCGGGUGAAAUCCCACGGCUCACCCGUGGAACUGCCCGGCAGACUGCGAUGCUAGAGUGUGGUAGGGGAGAGCGGAACUCCUGGUGGAGCGGUGAAAUGCGUAGAUAUCAGGAGGAACACCGGUGGCGAAGGCGGCUCUCUGGUCCACAACUGACGCUGAGGUGCGAAAGCUAGGGGAGCAAACGGGAUUAGAUACCCCGGUAGUCCUAGCUGUAAACGAUGGGCACUAGCUUGGGCAGGUGAAGUAAAAAUGAUAAG